GCUCUCGUAGCUCAGUUGGUAGAGUGCGGCACUAGUAAGAUAUGGUGAUCAUGUGAUAACGUGGUCUACGGUUCAAAUCCGUAUGGGAGCA
This 91-nucleotide transfer RNA is filed under the name Pseudogymnoascus destructans 20631-21. RNAcentral's name for it is "Geomyces destructans 20631-21 tRNA". It matches the Rfam family "tRNA". Rfam says of the family: Transfer RNA (tRNA) molecules are approximately 80 nucleotides in length. The record is from Rfam by way of RNAcentral. Lineage: Eukaryota; Fungi; Ascomycota; Leotiomycetes; Thelebolales; Thelebolaceae.